CUCCUUGCAGCAGAUGGGGGCACUGCUCAAAGUCAGAGAUGACCUGGUCCUGGGGAUGCACGGAGAGGAUCUAGACUGGAGUCAGAUGCCCACCGGGAAGCUUGGCUCAACAUAGGGGCCCUUGCAAGGACAGGGGCCUCACUCACCUUCCUAUAGACACACUGGCCACCUCUCAGCUCCAGGAACAUGGCAAGUCCUUUCUACCUCAGGGCCUUUGCACACACUGAUCCCUCUGUUACAGCCAAAGCUCAGUGCAUAGCAAAAGCUCGAGUGUGGGUCCUGUCUCUUAGGCCACAUAUGCCACUUUAAAGUCUUCAGCCGCAGUUUCCAUAUCUAAAAUGUAUUGAAAAUGCAUUUCUCUCACAAGGUUCUUGUGAGAACAAGAUGAGACAAUGAACAUAAUUGGGCUUUGGCAAAUAUCCUCUCACCUCAUGUGAGGGCUGCAUGAUCUUUCUUCUUAACCCCCCAGUGAGAAUGGUGGUAACCUUGAGUUAAACACAGAUGGCUCCGGAAACACAUGUCCAGAAGUGUCUGCCUAAAAAGUAUGCUUGCAGAGGUCCUGUGAGGUGUCCUGACUCUUGGCCAAUGGCUGCAAUUCCAUUGUUCUUAUCACAAGCCUGUAUCGUCAACUCAAAGCCCAUUAGAGUCAUCAGUCCUUCACCUCUGCCUGAGACACAGACAGUCUGCAAAUCUGGAUGCUUCACGUCUCAAUCAGCCUCACAUCCACCUGUCCAAGCACCUGAGACACCGGGACCCAGCAGGGCACCCACUCAGUGGCAUCUCCCAGGACAAGCCAAAUAUCAUCCCCCCACUGAGACCCACUGGGCCGCUCCAGGUGUUUCCUUGCCUCCUCUUCUGAAAAUUCGGGACUGCCAUACAGACACCUCCCGGCUCUUCUGUGUGGUCAGGCGCCCUGUCCAUCUUCCUCGCGCUGACUCUCCAGACUCUUUGGAAAGAGUAAAUCCGUGUGCAGAGCACCUGGCUCCAGAGCUUUGGGGCCUCAGGUACGGCCACAUCCCCAUCCCAGCAGCUCUGGCUCAGAGGCCUUCCGCGGGGUCUCAGGGCCAAGGCUGGUCGAGUGUUCCUUGCCCCACAGGCCCAGCGUGGAAUCUCGUUUCUGCCUUCUGCAGAGGGCAGCCUGGAGAGCGCCUCCCGCCACCUGAGAACCAGAGAGGAUGCGAGGAGCCACCGAGAGAGGUCCAGGGCCCAAGUUAGCACUGCCACCUGGAGGUGUGGGCCAGGCCCCUUGCCCCUCUGGGGCACGGCAGAGCCCUAUUCCCCUGGCCCCCGGCUCUACAGCAGAGGGGGCCAGUUGUGCUGGUAGGGCAGCCACACCUGCCUGAUGAAGUAAGAGUUGGUGGGUAUACCCUUCAGUCCCUCAACCUCACAGACAGAUCCCCCGGGGGAGCGAGCCAGAGACACACCUAUUCACCAUUUCAUGCUUAAUUUGCUUAUCUGUAGUCACUGUCCUGUUUCCUGUGUCCCCACUGUGCCCCCAGGCUGGAGUCACCUCCUAGAAAAACUGCUUGCACCCAAAUCCUUGUCUUAGGGCCUGCUUCUGGGAGCCCAACUGCAGAGCCACACGGGACUGGGUCACUCCGAGCCUGGGGGCCAGCAGGGAGCUGUGCUGGGAGAUGCUGUCUCCAUGGCCUUGUGGCUCCAGCGUUGCCUGGCUCUUCCUCAAUGUGGCUGCCUCACCCCCAUACCCAGGGCAUGGAAAAGUCAGGAACUUCUGCCUGUGGUCUGGCUUGUACAGUGACCUUCUGCUCCCAGGACGUAGCAUCCUCCUCCAUGGGAAGACCGGGCAGUUGGGAAAAAAAUGAAACUGCUUGGGGCCGGCUUCAGGAGGAGCAGGAGGGAGCUCUCACUCACCUCCUGUGAAAUGGGUGUGCUGGCUUUGUAUUUAGAGAGAAGGCUGUCAGGGGAGAGGGGAGAAAGGGCUGAUUCAUCAGUUUCUAAUGACACUAAUAGGCAGCAUCUGUGAGCCCUCCUGAGGCUUCAUCACAGGAGGAAGGGGGUGAUUUUCUUGCUGCGGCUUCGACAUCAGAGUCCCCAUCUCCGCCUCCCUGAAGUGUGUCAGGCACUGGCUUUUCACAGGAAAGCUGCCUGAUGCCAGGGCAAAAAGCAAGUCAUAAAAUAUUCAUCUGCUGAGGCCGGAGAAUGGAAGCGAUCGUGUCCUCCUGGAGAGGUAGAGUCCUAAAUUAAAGCCGUGCACAGACCCAGAAAAAAGCACAUGCCCGACCAGCAGACAGUCCCAGGCACAUGUGGGAACUACACAGCCUCGCAUGUACACAAAAGCAAGUGCCUAACAUGCACACAUGCACACAUAUGUGUACCAGUCACACACCUAUGCGGCACUCAAGCCAGCGCUGAGGCCACAUGGAUGCCACAUGGGAGCACGCACGCACAAUGCACGUACAUGUGACCCCCACUGAACGUGAGCACCCACUCACAUAUCUAUUCCGGUAUCAUUGCAAUGAAAUGCUGACAUCUUAGCUGGUGUACUGGGCACAGAAGAGCCCAUGACCCGGCUCUGACUUUGGAACUAUAGUCGCCUGUCUGGCUGUCCUGGGGAGGCUGGGAAGAAAGCAAAUGCUGUGCCGGGAGAAGUGUGACUCAGAGGUAGGUUACACAACUCCAUCCUGCCUGUGUGCUCAGCCCAGGAUGGGGCCAAAAGGAAGAAAGCUUGCAAAUGUGAAAGUGGAAAGGGCUGCUACAUUUCUGGAAGCUUCCACAUACCAUGUUGCUUGUCUGGGCUGGUGGAGGCUGAGGCUCCCUGAGGGCAGCAUGUGGUGCUCCUGCACUGUCAUGACCCCAGAGGGGUGGGGAAUCACCUUCCCACUAGAGCCAGACCUACUCCUGCCUAUCUGACCUGCCACCCAGGGCUCCAGCCCGCCUGCAGCGACAGCGGCUCAGACCCUGGGCUCUUAAGGUAAGCAUGUAUGUUGGCCUGGGCUUGCAAGGGUGAUUCUGCCUUCAGAUUGUUCUAGAAGCUCUCUGAUGGAGCAGCUCACAACGUAAGACUGAUGCCAGACCUAAUUUUUUGAAACCACCUCAGUUCGCAGACCUCCUGAGAGAACGACAAUGUUCCAGGUCCUUGGGAUGCUGCGCUUUUCCCUUUCUCCAUUCUGCAACUAUCCCCUGAACAUAUACCGGGAGCUAGGGCCUGGGGUGACAGAGCUGGCUGCCCUAGGAUCCCACCUCCUACAAGGCAAGCAGACAAGGGCCAAGAGACUAUUGCUGUUUGCUCUUGGAGAAGGGGACUCUGAUUCUAGGAGAUUAAGAAGUUGGCCAAAGAGCUAAGUAUGUGUUUGAGUGGGUGGGAGGUGGGUGGGCCAGGCGUUGGAGGAUGGAAGGAGGAGAUUUAAAUUCGGAGCAGAAAAGCAGCAUUCACAAAAAGAGCACAGCUUCCUACAAAGGCAAUUAUAGAUCAGGGGCUGCCAAACUACAGUUUAUGGGCCGAUUCCAGCUUACAUCCUGUUUUUGUUAAUAAAGUUUUAUUGGCAUGCAGCCACGGCCGUUCGUUUAUGUAUCAUCAUUGGCUGCUUUUGAGCAACGAUGGCAGAGUGGACCAGUCACAGCAUGGCCCUCAAAGCCUAAGAUAUUUACCAUCUGACUGUUUACAGAACACAUUUGCCAACCCCUAUUCUAGAUCGAUCAGUUAGAUAGAACCCAUUGUAGAAUCCUCAGAACACCCAUAGACUAUCUAGAACCCACUGCCUAAGUCUAGAGCCCAGCACGGUUUUCUAGAGCUCCCUGUAAGAAUAACAUUUGUGUGGGGAUUUAGCCGUUUACAGUGAGCUUUUGCAUCAAUUAUCCCAUUUAAUCCUUCAACAAGCCUGUGUGAGGUUAAUGGUAAUUUUAUCCCAAUUUUGCAGAUGAAAAAACUAAGACAAAGGGAAAUAAAGAGACUUGCUGAAGACCACAUGGCUGGGGACAGCCGAGCCCUGGGCAGCCCGAUCCUAACGUUCCAUGCUCUUUCCACCACAUUAACCUACAGAUGUUUCUCUGUCACACAUUCCACCACCGAGCUGCCCUCCCUGACAAGCCAUUUCCCUCCUCCUUCCUAACAUCUCUGCUGCCACUGAGGAAGCCUUUUUGUCCAUUGUGCUGCCUUAGUGGGAGAGAGCGUUUGGAAGAGAAUCGAAUUUCCUUUCUGCAUCUGUGUGCUGGUGCCCAGUGCACCCUGGGACGCUAACGAACAGUGACAGAUGAGCUUCAAUUGGCUGGCGCGUGUGAGGAACCACUGGACCAGGCAAAAGAAAGCAUCAUCGGAGCCCAGCAAGGGAGGAGGAGAGAGGCUUUGCUUCAUGAAAGCCUGAACAGCAUCCAACCGAAACCAGCCGCCGCCGCCGCGCCCUGACGUGGUACUCUGCAGUUUUCAGAGUGCAUCGCAUCCAUUAUCUCCCCUGACCCGCAGACAGGCCGGCGAAGAAGGCUGAUAUGAGGUCACCCAGCCCCGUGCGUGCAGCCCCUCAAAUGCCUCCUGCGUUCCACCCCUUCUUCUCCAUUGCAUGGCCACUGCCCUUUCAAUUUCUCCCGGGAUUGUUGCAAUAGCGUCUCACUGUCUCCUGCUCCCAGCCCGCACCCUCCUGUGCCCCCUUGCUGAGUAAUCUUUUUGCACCGAAAAUUUGUUCAGCCUACAGAUGGUGUCACAGCCUCCAGUGGCCCCACCAGCUAUAGACUAAAGUCCCAACUCCCAUGUGUUCAAGGACAGCUACCCCUCUCUACAAGCCCCUUUCCUUGCAGUUUCCCUUGGAGGUGAUGAUGAGCUUUCUGAAUACACCAACCUCUUCUGGGGCCAUACCUCUUCUCAUGCCAUGAGCCUAGGCUGGACCUCUGGUCUCUUCCGUCUUGCUGACCAACCCUUAGGCUUCUUUAAGACCCAGUUCAGCAUCACUGACUUCAGGGGUCCCCUGCCCACCUGGCUGCCCAUGUUCCCAUGGAGCUUGUACCCAAGGCUGUUGUAUUCCUUACCAGCUAAUUGUCCCCUUGGUCCUUCCUGCACCCAUUCCCUCUUGUACUGCACUGGGAACUUGUCAAGCUGAGAGAUAGUGCUCCUCACUGCCAGAUCCUCUCCACCCAGUGUGGUUCAGGCACCUAGUAGCUGCUCAGCUGGCAUUGAUGAAAUUGAGUUUAUAGGUGAGGGCACCGAGGCUCAGAGCAGUUAAGGCUGGGGAGACGCCCAGCUGGUAUCCUUCUCCUGUCACUACCCCUCCCUGCCUCCCUGUUUGCUCUGGGGUCUCAGCAUCAUCCACAACCCACAUACCACUGUUCAGUUACCAAAGAUACCCCUGACUUGUCUCUGCCCAACCCUUCCUUCCUCAUCUUUUCUCCAUCAGCUUCACAACCUUGGACCAGCAAGGCCAUUGCAAUACAAGCCGAGGUUGGGAAGAGUGAGGCUCAGAGACCACAGAGAUACUUUGACACAUGGAAAAAGGCAAGACUUCCUUCCCAGGAGAUUUAUCAUUCUUCAAAAAAAUGGGGUUCUCAAAGAUUCAAGGUAUUUGCUAUUCAUGCUAUUCAUGCAAACACGCUUGCACCUUGGUGUUUUAUGGUAAGGAUUCUGGGAACCAUAGGGAAGACCAGAAUCUCCAUUCCUGACACCCGUGUACUGGAAGCCACUCCCCUCGCCUCUCCCAAAUUAAAUCCACUUGGAGCCUCAGAAUGGGACAUUUCUUGGAAUAAGGAUCUCAGUAGACAUAAUUAGAGUAAGGGAGAGAUGACCUCAUCCUGGAGGAGGGUGGACCCUUAGUCCAAUGACAAGUGUCCUUAUGGGAGACAGUAAGGAGAAGACACAUAGACACAGGGGAGAAGGUCCUGUGAAGACAAAGGCAGAAGCUGCAAUGAUGGGUUUACAAGCCAAGGAAUGCCAGGGGUUUCUGGCAUCACAGAAUCUAGGAGAGUAUCUGGAAUGGACUUUUUUUUUUUCCCCAAGGUCAUUGCUUACUUUUAUUUAUUUAGUGAUUUUUAUUUUUUUCCAUUACAGUUGGUUUUCAGUGGUCUGUCAAUUCUCUACUAUACAGCAAAGUGACCCAGUCACACAUACAUAUAUACAUUUUUUAUCACAUUAUCUUCUAUCAUGUUCCAUCACAAGUGAGUAUAUAUAGUUCCUAGUGCUAUACAGCAGGAUCUCAUUGCUUAUCCAUUCCAAAGGCAAUAAUUUGCAUCUGGAAUGGACUUUCAGAGCUUCCAGAAGGAACCAAUCCUGCCAACACCCUGAUUUCAGACAUCUGGCCUCUAGAACUGUUGAGAACUGUUACUUCAAGCCACCCAAUUGUGGUCAUUUGUCACCUAGGCACCUCUAGUAAGUGAAUGAAAUGGAGCAGUAUAAAAAUACAAGGGAAGCCCAGCAGGGCCAUCGGGACCAGGAAGUCGGGGGUCCUCACCCCUCGCCAUCACGUGUGGGUACCCUCUGCUUCUCUUCCUGGCACCUCUCAGCUCCUCUAUCACUCUGCUCUUCCAGCUGCCACCAGCCCGCCACAUUGCCCCUCCAGAGGUCCUCCCUUUGCUUAAGGCUCUGCUGCUGAGCUGUCCUGUGUCUAUCAGUCUGGGGUCUUUCCAUGUCUGUUACAUAUGCUAACCUGCCAACUCUCUCAUUAUAUUAAAAAUGUCCAAGAGAGGUGAGCUGAUGGUUGAGCUCACCACCAUCACCCCCCAAAGGGCAAAGCUUUCACCCCAGGCCAGCUCACAGGCAGCAGACCUUGGCCCUGAUCCUCCAGGCAUGGCCAGGGAGGUGGGCCAGGCAUUCCCAUCAGCACAGGGGGCCCUGGAAGGGCAGGACAGAUGCCUGGAAACAGUCCCAGGUUGGUGGCCCCUUCACUGCUGAGACUAAACUUCCUGCAGAAUUGAAGAAUAGGCAGUAGGAAGGCGAAAGGGAAGAAGCACUUUUUUUUUUUUUUCCAAUAGAAGAAGGAAAGUGUCAUCAAUAGAAGCUGUUGAAAAGUCCAAAUUGCAACCUUCUUGCCUCCUUUUGAUGAGCUGCCUUGAUGAGCUGUUUAGAAGAGCUCAUUGCUCUGGGUCAGCGUGACAGCUGUUGAUGACAAGGGGUAGGCGGGGAGAGGUUAGGCAGGAGGAAUAUGCGGCCAGGGCCUUGGCCAUGAUGGAUAUGCACCAAGCCUGUGCACCCCAGGUCUUUGCAAAGGGUCCAUGACAAACAGCCCAUGGUGCAUUGGGCUGUUUUACUGUAAUUCACUCCCCAAAUGCUUCUGGUGUGCAGCCCUGUGCUGAAGACACUGCCCAGACAUCCUCUCAUUUACUUUCUCCCAAGCUCCAGAGAGUGGAUGUCAGGUUGAGCUUAUGUAGUUCAGGGAUUGCAGAUGUGAACACCCAAAGUCCCAGGACCAGUACGUGAUGGAGUCAGGAUUCAAACUUAGGUCAGAGGAGGCUAGAGACAUGGCUGAGCACAGUGUAUGGUCCUUGGGGGCAUGAAGGAGAGCUAUAAAGGAUGUUAUGAGGAAUCCAGAUCAGAUAAUAGUUUUCUAUGGAGGUUAAAUUUCCCGAGUUUAAUAACUAUACUAUGAAAAUGUAGGAGAAGUUUAAGACUAAUAGGAACAAUGUCCCCAGUGUACUCUUAAAUAGAUGAGGGAGGGGAUGCGUGGAGGGAGAGAGGGAGAGAAUGAGAAAGGGAGAAUAAUAAAGUGAAUGAGACAAAAUGUGGUGAACUAUGGGUUGAUUUGCAUCUCCUAGAAUUUUAUAUAAACGUUAUUAUGUUGAAUGUACUCCUUUUUGCUGGCUUCUCUUGUACAUAAUUUCUUUGAGAGCCAUCCAUGUUGUAGCAGGCAUCCAAAUUCAUUCCUUUUCAUAGCUAAGUAGUAUUUCAUCUAACGGAUAAACCAGUUAGUCUAUUCAUUCCCCUGCUGUUGGACACUGGUUGUUUUCAGUUUUGGGCAGUCAGGAAUCAAGCAGCCAUGAUUUGUGUCCCAGUUCUUUGGGUGGGCAUUGCUUUUGUUUCAACAGAAUGCCUAGAUCAUAUAUAUGGUAGGUGUGUGUUAACUGUUUAAGAAAUUGCCCAACUAUUUUCCAAAGCAGCUGUACCCCCCAGUAGUGCACGAGGCUUCCUGUUUCUCCACAUUCUUUCCUUGGUAUGGACUGACUUGGUAUUGCUGGUCUUUUCCAUUAGAGCCCUUCCAGUGGACCUGUAGUGAUGUCUCCUUGUGGUUUUCACUUGCAUUUUCCUAGUGACCAGUGGUGUUGCUCUUAUCCCCCUGCCAUUCCCUCUCCUGCUUUUCUGGGGGCACUGCGACCUUCUGGGGCAAGACCUCAGGGACUUGCCCCUACAGCCCAGAGGUGAACAGUCACGUCCCGAACAGAAAGCAUGCAAGUGGAUGGGCCCAGGAUGAAGACUGGAGGGCCACAUAAGAGCCUGGGGUGCUUUCAGGCCAAGGUAUUUGUCCCAUGGCUCUGACGAGCAGAACCCACCCUUCAGAUGGGGCACCCACCUGCUCAGCAGCCCAUGCUCGAGCUUUUCCACAGGCAGUCAGUACACAGGAUACUUCAGGUCCUAACCCUCAGACGUGAUGUGUUUGCUCAACAACCCUUAAGUUCCUCCCCUGUGUUCAGUUCUGUGACCAGUAUAAGCCUUUGAUGGGUUUUGGUUAUUGGCAAUUAUCAGAGUAAAGUGAAAACUCUCAAGGAUAAUCUGCAAGGCCUUUCUUGAUCAAGUUCCUAAAUUUGGUCUUUCCUACCACAUCCUUCCACAUCCCUCCAGCCUACGCUCCACAUCUAACAAACACCCCAGUGUCCCAGACUUGCCAGCUCCUUCCUGCCUCCCUGCCUUAACCUUCCCUCCUGCUUCUCCCUCCCUUGGCCAGUGGAGACCUUCUCAGCCUGUCACAGCACCAAGCGUCCCUUGUGCCUCUCCUCAACCUCAAAGGAUGGUUUUUUCAGGACCAGCAUGGUCUCAACUGGAUCCAUGUACAGUUUAUGCGGGUCACGGGGAGUGGGGAGGGGCCUGUGAGCCGAAAGGCUGGAUGCUGUUACACACCCACUGCAGCACACAGAGGUUCCUCGUCAGCUGGGCCCGGCUGAAUUGAGUGCAUUUCUGCACCAUGCCUUCCCCCCCCUGAUCGUGGGGACUGGGAUGACUCCCCACCGCCACCACUCCCACAUGUGGCUCACAAGUCACUCCAAUUGCCGGAGGUGGCACCCGCCAUGUUCUGAAAAGCUAAGUGCCUUCGCCCCCUUCGCCACCCUUACCUGGAACAGCCAUUUUUGUUGUGUGAACACAUGGCCCGGGAACUUAAACACUAAAACCAGUUAGUUCCUCAGGGGGCGUCAUCUUAACCAUGCCAAACUCAACAAGAUAUAAACUGGUCCUAGAAGCCUUCUCUUCCUCCUUCCUUCAUUUUUUUUUUUUUUCUUUUUCUUGUUCCAGCAGCACUUAUCCAUCUGUGCUUCCACCACAGAGCUAUUCCCACUAGAAAUGCCGUGAAACCUUUCAAAUAAAAUAUUUAACGUGUGGAUCCAGUAAUUUUAUGUUGUGAGUUAUGAAACCUUUAUUCAGGUCCCACCUUUUAUUAAACUUCAGGGUUCGCCUUUGGUCUCUAAUGACAUUAUGUUGCAUCAGAAUUAGACAGUUUUUUACAGGGGUUUGUAUUAUUUGUUGUGACUCGGUAAUGCUAAUGUUUAAAUUUUGAGUCCUUUUACUGCUGAUUAAACCUCUAAAGACUACAGCAGAAUUUCCGCUUCGCUGCUAGAAGAAAAGAAAACAGCGCGGUUUGUUCUGAGGAGAUCACUUGAAGAAUGUGCGGGAAGGUGGCUGCAUUUAUGAAUAAAGCGAGGCAUUAUCAUUUUUAAUAGGAAUUAAACAGCUAGAGGGAGAAGUCGGGCAAUGCUGUGAUCAGUGCAAAGGAAAACAAUCUAACAAUUUUAAUUAACUGUAUUUUAAUAGCUUUAGUUAUAAUUGAAUAAUUUAAAUACCAAGGGAAACAGUUAAAUCUCCUAAAAGCCUUUUUUUAUUUACAUUUUAAAUACAGUUCACGGUGAAGAGAUGACAGUACAAGUGCUGGGAGCAAAUCACCGGGUCGACUCCAGCAGCCGGGCAAGCCCACGAGAGGUAGGAUGGAGCCCGAGUGAUCCCGGGCCGGGGACUGGCGUGCCUCGCUGCCUCGGCCGAGAUGGGCCCCAGAAAGAACCCAGGGCAGCAGUGGGCAGUGAGGACUUCCCAUCCCGCCCAGGGCCUACAGCUCGUCUGACGUCAAAGCUCAAAGCCCCCAGGCCAGUGGGGCCUGGAGUGACUCUUGCUAUUCAUUCAACGUUCAAGCGAUAUUUAUUGCAGGCCUACAGUAACAACCACCACGGCAGUAAUAAAACAGUAGAAGUAACAGCUGACACUUACUGAGGGCUUCCUGAAUGUUUGGGGCCAGCAAUAACGGCAAGUGCGGGAGGGAGUUGGUUCCCUACCCUCCUGGAGUCUUUCCGCUGGAGGGAGCGACUGCGCAUGCGCAGAUGAAUUACCAACUACACAAGAUAAGUACAAAUUAGGAUAAGAAGCCCAAAGGAAAAAAGAACAGGAUGCUAAAAUAGAGGAUAGUGGGACAGAAGGUGUAGAUUAUUUUGUUUUCAUUUUGUUGCUUUUUAGGGCGGCACCGGCGGCAUAUGGAAGUUCUGAGGCUGGGGUUGAAUCAGAGUUAUGGCUACCAGCCUACGCCACAGCCACAGCAAUGCAGGAUCCAAACCGCAUCUGUGACCCACACCACGGCCCAUGGCAACACUGGGUUCUUAACCGACUAAGCAAGGCCAGGGAUGGAACCCACAUCCUCAUGGAUACUAGCUGGGUUUGUUACCACUGAGCCACAAUGGGAAUUCCAGAUGAUUUUAGAUAAGGUGGGCAGGGGUGGUUCUUCCCUGGAGUUGAUACUCAGACAAGACUUUGAGAAGGAUGGGGUGGGGGCUGGUAUCAAAGCCUGAGGCAGCUGGAGCUUCUCUGCCAGAUAGAGCAACAAGUGCAAAGGCCCUGGGGUAGGGAAAGAUGUUUAGAGUGUUGAGAGGAAUUGAGGAGAACUGGCAGUGGCGAGACCACAGGGAGGAGAGCAAGGUGAUGAAAGGUGGGGGGAAGAACCUGCCAGGGCACAAGGUGCAGGACAUCACUGGAAGGUUGAAGCAUUGAAAUGGUGCAAUUUGAUUAGUGAAUAUAAAAGGUCUCUGAUGUUUUCCUAUGCCUUGUGCUGGGGUGUGAACUCCCUCCCUCACCCCUGUGGUCCUGCCCAGGAACUACAGCUAGGCCCCUCCCUGGAUUGUGGUUGGAAUGAGAGCCCCUACCCCAACUUCUACCCCAUCCUGCACUAUGCCUGCAGCCCUACCCCGCAGCCAGCCCCUGUCAGCAUUCCUAAUACCCUAGUUCCCAAGCAUGUCCGCUCUGAGAACUGUCUUUGUUCGACGUCCCUUGCUCAUCGGGGCCCCAUCUGGAACUGAACGGACUCCUCCAGCCACUGUCAGCCCCAAAACCAUGGAGCCUCGGCCUCCCAAACUCCAUCCAUCCCCACUAGCCGAAGAUCCCAGCUACUGCAUGUCUACCCUUGGCUGGGGCCACUGUGUACUGACUAACAGUUACUCCCUGAGAAGACCAGCCACUGCCUACUCAAUGUCCUUCCUAUCUUCCCACCAGCCUGCUGAUAAAGCCCCCUUGUGCCUUGCAGCCAAGUCCUUCUGAGACAUGAGAAUCUCCUUCAGUGCUAAUGAGGAGGACUGGGCCAGGAAAAUUCACCGUCUGUGAAGAUGGGACACUGGGAGAUGGCAAGGUCCGCUCCGCAGGGGGCAGUCGGGGUCAGAGCAGAUGCUGCUAAUGGACAGUGAUUGGGGUUGCCAUCCCCUUCCAUUAGGAGCUGGCCACUCCCACAGCUCCAGGCCAUCCUUGGAGGCCUGGUGUCCUCUCCUGCUGGGGAAAGACUGGGCUGGUUCACUAAUGGGGCCCCCAGCCAGCUCAGAGAACAGCAGGGGAAAGCCCCUGCCAGAACAAUCCAUUUCUCCUCCCCCCACCAGGAACCUCACCGGCUUCUCCGAGAGCUCCAUGCAGGAGGGACCAGCUCAGACUCCAAGCCAAAGAAAGCACUGCAAGUGUAUUCACAAUAGGAUUUGAGAAUAUUCCUUCCAGAGCGGAGGGGCCAGCCAUGUGGGGCGCUGAAAUGAUCUGUGGACAUGGGGCCCAGCAGGACUGAGCAGAAUAGUGAUCACCCACAUGCUGAGUAUAUGCUCUAACUCCACCCCCGGGGGGGAGCACCCUGAGCGGAGCCCCAUCAUCCCAGCUUCACAAAGAGGACAUGAACAGCAGAAGGUGUGGCAAGUUGUGGAAGUCACCUGGCUGGUGUGUGUUGGAUGAGGACCUGGCAGGCUGUGCCCUCGUUCUUAACCACCGUGCUGUCUGCUCGCUCCGAUCCCAGCCCUGGUCUGACACUUGCUGGCUUGGUGUUGCCCAGCAGCAUUGUCCACGCCAUACCCUCCCAAUGUGCUCCACAAACAGUUAUCAAGUGUCUCCUCUGUGCCUCUCAUUUACAGAAGAAAUGGAUGCUGGGGGAGCCUACAUAAAUGCACACAACUGUUCCUGUCCCAAAACUUGAGCCACGGUCCCAUAAAGCCCAAUUUCUCCCCUCCUCAAAGAUGCUCUUCAGUGACAGCUGCAGUGGGGUUGGGUGCUUGCCCUCCUGGUUCACGGCAGGGCUGCUGGGCUAUGUCCAGGACAGGUAGCAGGGGAGGCAGGGAAGAGGUGGUACUCCUCCAGGCAUAAGGGUGCAGGCACAACAUGUAUUGAGAGUCAGAGUCCGUAGUCCAGAGAUCAGGACCUGAUGGGGGGCAUCUCAAAUGCUCCUUCUGCAUAUGGUCAAGGGGAGCCCAGGUGGGGUAUCCCACAGGAGCAGUCCGAGGCUCUCUUUGCUCCAGGUUCCUAGAGUACCAGGUUGAACACAGACUGGGACCAUGUCCUGCUCCAGCCCCCAGGCAAGGGUUGCCCCUUGGAGGAGCCCCUGGCCUGCACUAAGGAAAACUGAAAGAGGGAAGGUGAGAGCUGGCCUGGACAGAGCGACCAAGAGGAGAAGAAAGGCCCAGAUCAGUGGGUGGCAAAGCUGGGGGUGGGGUCGGCAGUAUGGACUGCUGUGAUCUGUCCUGGGCACCCAGGACUCCCCUGCAGGACCACAGGACUUUCUCCUCCAGAUGCUGGGAAGACUGUCAGCUGAUAAGGGCUCCAUGGUCAGCCCUCUUUAGGAGUCUAAAGAGAGCUGCAGCAUUCCCAUCAUGGCUCAGUGGUAAUGAGCCCAACUAGUAUCCAUGAGGACUCAGGUUGGAUCCCUGGCCUCGAUCAGUGGGUUAAGGAUCUGGUGUUGCUGUGAGCUGUGGUGUAGGUCGCAGAUGUGGCUCAGAUCCCACAUGGCUGUGGCUGUGGUGUAGGCCAGCACCUGCAGCUGCAAUUCGACCUCUAGUCUGGGAACUUCCAUAUGCUGCGGGUAUGGCCCUAAAAAGAAAAAAUAAAUAAAUAAAAAAGCGAGCGAGCGAGGGAGUGAGGGCGAGAGAGAGAGCGAGAGCCCUGCAUUGUCAAGGUCAUGCCUUCUCCCCAGGGAAUCCCACCUCCACUAACUGACCGUGUGGAGGUGGAGAGGCCCAGCCACUUUGCCUAAAUGCAGGACCCCUGUGGGGGGCCACCAGCUUCAGCGCUUUCCCAUGGGGCCAGCUGAGGCCAUGACUUCAUUGAACCCUGAUUUCUCCUUUGGCCAUGUCUGCUUUCUGCCAUUAUCCUGUAGGUCUGGAUGAUCAGAACACUAAUCUCUAAUUUCUAGCUCAGAGCCUGCUUCCUGGGGAACCCAACCUGUAGCAGCUACUGACUGACCCAAAUCUAACACAUACUCAAUAAAUCUGCAUCUAGUUCCUGUCGUGGAAUAGAUGUACAUGGGCACUGGGGACAGAUCCACAGAUGGAACAUCUGGCGUGGGGUCCCAUCUGUCUGGAUAACCAGACAGGUAAGCCCAUCUCAGUAAAGUGGGUGGGUGCUGUCACAGGGGUUUGCUUCUGGAGGGCCCAACCAAGGCCACUCAUGUUUCCCCAAGGGCAUUCCUGCGUCCCAGAAUUGAAAGAGAGGAAGGAGCCAGCCUUCCUCCUUGACUCGACUCCCCCUGUAGUCAGCCUACCUGGCCUUGCGCAGGCUGCUCCUGUGCUGCUUCAGUGAUCGGACCUCCUGUGGUCUGAAGCGGCUCUGCAUAAGUACAGCCUCCUUCCUCAGAGUCUGUUCCCGCCUCUCUGUAGCUGGUCUUGUUCUCGGCCUGGGAACUUGCAGGAGUGGUCCAUUCUGGGGAUGCUGAGUGUAUCAGGGACUCCUGGACAGGUAGGAGGUGUAGUCACCGAGGGAAGCCCCCAGCACAUAGCGGUGUGGGAAGGGCUCCAUGCAUAAGUGCACAGGGAAGGGCUCUCCUGCUGGUGAGUGAAUGGGCUAUUGGAGGAGGUGCCUCCUGCCUGAGCCUGAUCUCCCCUCCAGUCUUGGAGUCUGUUCUCCCAUUUGGAACAAGUGCUCUGAGGAUAAAGCAUACUUUGGGAAAUGCUGCAGGUCUUCUCAGUGCCUUCAUCCCAGUGGGCCCUGGGACCCUGCAAAAGCAGGGCAGAGUAUGCUGCAUCUCCCCAAACUUCUUCUUUUUUUUUUUCAGAGCAUCUCUCAGGGCCAAUGUCUUAGAGAACAUGCUUUGGAAAAAAAAAAAAAUGCUGCUUUCAGAAAUUUCCAGAGCUGCUCCUGUUCUUGCUCAAAAGGGAAAGAGGAAUUCUGUCCUGGUGGAGGCUCCUAGCAGAAUGGGGGCAGGGGAGGCAGUGUUAUCUGAGAGUGGAGGAGAGCAGGGUGGGUGAGGAGGGGCAGGAAGCCAGGUGCCCCGUCUGUCACCUUCCCUGGAGCUGGGGGUGACAGUGGAGGACUGUCUGGGAAGCCAGAGCAAGAAGCCUGGGGAGGCUUGGGCGGCACUCCCGAGUCCCUGUUUCCGACAAACGCUGUGCUGCAGGCUGACAAAACCAACUCGAGUGUGCACCAGGCCAUCCUGCUCUCUGCCAGUUCAGAUGCUCAGACAGCGGGCUCUGGCUUCCAUCCUCCCUGACAUCUGAAUCACGGCGAGGCAGGAGGCAGGGCCCGGCCGGCUCCGGAGCGGGGAAAUGAUAAACAGAUGUCAGAGGACAAAGGGGCAGGAUGUGCUUGGAGGUUUGUGGCACAUCAGGCCUGCUUGCAACAGCCUUUCUCGCUCGGGAACCGAGAGGGUGGCGAGGCCAUGACAAAGGGAACCUGAUGGCAGAGGGGUUAAAGCCAUGGCCUUUGAAGCCUCACAGGCUGGGCAUGAUCCUGGCUCCAUCACUUGCUCAUUGUGUGAUCCCAGACGAGUUAUUUAAUCUGAUGUGUAAAGUAUGGAAAAUCAUCGUCCUUUACUCAAGACCGUGGCUUUGGAUGGAUUAAAUAAGAUGAUGCAUGAAAAAGACUUAACACAGUGCCUGGCACACCACGCUCAACAAAUUUAGUUGUUUAUGCUGCUGCUGCUGCUGUUGCUGCUGCUGCUGCUGGUAGUGCUGCUUGGGGAAUGGGUCCUGCUAGAUGAAAUGUUUAUUUGUCCAGCAAAUACACACUGUGCUCUGCUUGGUGCCAGGGGCCACGGCACCACCCUAGAUAUGACAGGCUGGGAGAGGCUGUGCCAAGAAGCCACUCUUGGCCACAGAGUGACAUCUAGACCCAGAACCCCCUGGACCAUUCUUCAAAUGAGAAGGCUAUGAAAGCAGCAGUAUGCAGGAAGCAUUGAAUGUGUCAGGACCUGACACCAUCAUCAGCUAGUGGCAGUGCAUGCCCUCCCGCAAGUUCCCUCUGCCAGACAGACUCUUAGUCAGCCUUCAAAACCCAGCCCAAAUGGCCCGUUUUUCCAGGCAGCCUUUCCCAAACAGCCUGAGCCCUCCUAGCACUUGAUGUCUGGCUUGGUUGUGGCACUUGCCAACUUCUAGUGGUGCAAAUGUUUACUCUUGUCUCUUUUUGGACUAGAGGGUGAGUGUGGAUAGGAAAUGUUUGGGGAACAAAAUAUAGUGAUACUUAGCUGUGUGGGUUAUGGAAUCAGUCAUGUGUGGGUUGAUAUCCUUGGAUACACCAAAUUUUGUGACCUUGGUGAAUUAGUUAACAUCUCUAAGCAUCAGUCACUUUACCUAUAAAGCCGAGCAAAAAUAUAGAUUUCCUGAAGCUGUUAUGAGGCUAAAAAGAGUCACUUGCCACCAAGGGCUUCGCACAGAACCUGACACACAGGAAUCACUAGGGACACUUGCUAACAUGAUUGGCUUUCUAUCUUUGUGUCUGUCUAGUCUUACCCUGGUUCUUGGCCUAUUGCAGGUGCUCUAUAAUUAGUUAUCAAUUGAAUAAAAUCAAUUCCCAAUCCCAGGACUCAGGAUCAAAAUCUAUCAAAUGAGGCCAUUUCAGCUAAAUCCUCUGCACCCAAAGAAAUUCUAAAGCAGUCCAGACCUACCCCUUCGAUUAGCAGAUGGGGAACUGAGGCCUGUGCAAUUGCGUGGGGCCACUGCAUGCAAGCAAAGGCACUCAGAUUCUCCUUGGUGAGCUGGAAUGUUAUUUUGGUUAGUUCUGCAGAGCGCGGGCUCUCAAUAGCCAGUCUCUUUCCCAUCUGAGCUGUUUUGUGUAGAGGAAAUAUCAAGGUGUAUGAUGUCAAGGCAGUUAAGUAAUCCAAGCAGCUGUGUAAACAUCUGGAAGUAGUAGAGACACAGCCCCCGAGUGAAAGCAGGGAUCAGUGCACCCAGACGUCUCGGAGAGGCUUCUAAACCAUCACCUGUGAGGAGCCAGCUAGGAGAGCAGUGCUCUGAUCAGAAACCUGAGCAUGCGUUCUUUGCUCUUCAGGCUCUGAGUCGUGGAGGCCAAGGAGGACAAGAAGGCCCCUGUGCCUGGUGUGACUUUGGAAAGUGGAUGUGAGGUUUAGGAAAGUCCUGCUAAUGACAUGUCAGCAGCAGCUGGAAACAAGUUGUCAGAUUCACAGGGAAUUGCCUCUUCUCACUCUUUCCCCAUGGCAGGGAGUGGAGGUGGACUGCCCUGAGCCCAGAUGCCCAAGAGAAAAGGCAGGGGCGUCUAGGGCUUCGCACUGGGAAUCCCCAAUCUGCUUUCUCCUUAGAAGUGAAUAUUCAUGACCCAGAGAGGCCAGUGGCAAAAGGUUCUGCAGGAGCUUCUAGCCCACUGCUCGAGUCCUGGAUGAGGGAAGAGGAGUCCAGAGAAGGAGGCUGCAUGGCCAAGGUCACACAGCUGGGAAGGGAAAGACUCAGAAGCAGGAGCCAAGCUUCCUGACUCCAAAUCCACGCCAGUUUCCCUAUUACCCAAUUGUCCUCUCUCCCUAUUUAAAAUUAUUCUAAUAGUAUUUAUCAUUUCUUUUUUGUAUCUAAUUACAAAGGGAACAUUGUAAGAAAUGUGGAAAACACUCAGAAGCACAAAAUGAAAUUGUCAAAGUCUCUAGAUGGAUUGAAUUCGUGGUCGCGCCUUUGGUAAACCUGCUCUCUUUUCUUGACAAUCCCUGGACAGGUGCGGUCUGUGGUUUCCUGGGACAAGAUUUUAUAAUUUGCAUGUAGAGAACACAAGGCAAAGGGGGUCCUGGAUUCUGUUAGCCCCUUGUGAACUAUGGCAUCUCCUCUGAACCUCAAUUUUCUCAUCCGUAAAAGGGGUUAUCACAUAUACCUUAGAGUAAAUUGAAUAAGGGCAAAGAUACACAAUUGCUUUAUAAAACAUAAAGUAUGUUGUUCAAAGAACAAAUGAAUGGUAAUGAGGGCAAUGGCCGGCACUUGAGGAGGGUGGGGUUGGCUUCUGCCACAGGCCCCCUGGGGCCCACUUUUUGGCUCACUGCAGCACAGCUUCCUUCCUCCUCCCCAAGUCCAAUUCCAGCUCUCAGGCCAGCCCCUCUCCCACUCGACCCCCAUGACAGUCCCCAAAAUGAGGCCCUGCUCCAGAACCCUCCAAGGAUGGAUGAAUAGGCUGGGUGGGCACUGGGGGGUGGCCAUGGGGGCUAGGGUGGCCGCAGGGGGGACAGGCAGCUCUCUUUCACCUAGAGUAUCUUCCUUUGCUGGACCUGAAAGCCUGCCAGGCUUAUUGCUCAGAUCCAUGAUCCCAGUCACCUUGGGCUGGUAACUCUGUCCCAGAUAAAAUGCCAGCAAUUUCUCCUAUUGCUUCCUAUAGUUUCCCUACCCUGAGUGGGAAGGAUUUUCAUACCCAUUUUAUAGAUGAGGAAAACAAGGCUGUUGGCACUCCUAACGGAAAUGUUUGCCUAUGAAAAGGAAGCUCUCAAGAACCCAAAGGAACCAAGGUGGUGCUUCAGUUGCUGGGUCUGAGCUGUUGUUGGUUGGGGGCCGUGGGGUCCUGAGGCGGUCCUGUCUUCCUUAAUCCUGUUGCAGGCAUGUGGGGACUAGAAGUGGCCUUCAUUGCCCCCUGCCUCUCUUCCUUGUCUGUGGAGCAGGACGGAGAUGGGUGACAUGCUGUCACUCCCCUGUGCACCAGCAGAGAGAGCAGGAACAGAGACUGGUGCUGGCUCAUGCCAGCUGAGCACUAAGGAGGUCCACUGGCUGGGAUUCCACUGGUGUCUGUCCCUGGGCGUCACCACACCUGGGAGGCUGGCGUGGGUGCCUGAGACCAGGAAGGUGCUUGAGACCCAUGAGGGUCUUGGCAGGUGCUGGCCACCCCGCAUUAAUCACCUCAACUGAAUCUGGACUUCAAGGGACAAAGGUAAGUCCAUGUGGGCCCUGCUAGGAGAGGCACUCUUCCUCCAAAGUCCUUUUGUCUGAGUGACAGCCUCCUCCUUGGUUGUUAGACAGAUCCAGCUCCCAGUUUCAGCUUUACCCUCUCACACCCUGACAGAGAACUUGGUCAGAUGUCUGAACCCUUCUUUGCUCCCCAAUCUGCUUAUCAGAAAGAUGGGCACCAUCACAAGGUCCCCUUUGUCUCCCCGAGGAAACAAAUGAAGGACCACUCAAAACCCUGUUUAAGUGUAAGAGAGUUUUACCGGGGAACAGACAAGAGAUGGCCUCUGGCCAGACUGGCAGGGAACCCAGGAGUCCAGGGAGAAGAAUCCUACAGAGACACCCCACUUUCCACAUGGAUGGCAAUCUUGGGUUUACCCAACAGAAACCCAGAACUUGCGCUGUCAGGAAGCCAGAUCCAGCCUCCUCCCCCGCCACAACUCCAUCCCUUUGAGAGCAUCACGGCUGAGAGCGGUGUUCUCUGCAUGCACCUCCUGCUGCAGGUGCAACAGCUCUCUUCUGGGGCUUCCUGGCACUGCCCCACAGGCCCCAUCAGCUUGGGGUUUAGGAAGUCCCUACCUCCCCUCUUGUGACCUCUGUAUCACGUCUUCAUCUCCCUGUGGAAGGUGCCUUUGAACUUGGCCAACCAGCACGAGCCAUGGCUGGGGAUUUCUGCAGAUGGCAGGGGGCUUUGGGAACCACCUUCAGUGGAAGCGUCUGAGUUCAAUGUGCCCAGGGCAGCCCUGGGAGGAAUCCGGCCAGGCCUUGUUAUUUUCAGAAAACAGGUGGUUCAGAACACCCUGCUCCAGGGCGUCGGUGGAAUCCCAGCCUGGCCCCUUUAAUGGGCCUUGUUGAGCAGCCCCUGAUCCAGCGGUGAUAAGGAGGUCCCGCUGCUGGGGACAGCACCCGGAACCAGCCACGAUCUCCUAUCUUCUGUCCUCACAGGCGUUCACUGGAGUUCAGCGGCUUCCAUUUAUCAGGCAGAUGUAAUCUCCUCAAAUAGCUGCCAAGUCCUGCUCUUCCUGGAGUUCCCUAAGACAACUGCUUCCCCAGGAGGUGAAGGGGCAUUUCCUUCCCCAGGAAGAGAUGCCAUCUGCAUGCAGUAACUGGUCCUUAGAGAAUGCUUGCCGAUUGGAUGGAUGGAUAACAGAUGAGUGAGUGGAUAAAUACACCGAAGAGUUCAACACAGUUAGGGAGGUAAGCACUGUCACACAUGGACAUACAAAUUGCCAUGGAUGGAAGAGGAGGUUCUAACUCAUCUAGGUAAGAGAGAGAGGAGCAGAAGGACAUUUCUGCUGAAUGGUAUUGUGCUGGGGCACUUUUUAGGUGGUCCUUUACCUGUAGAAAGUCAUCUAGUGAAUGGGGUGGCCGGUGUUUUGUGGCGCUGAUCCUAAGUGCUGGGCAUUUUUCAUGGAAAUCAAGCUGAAAAGUCCCAAUGUCCCCUCUUGAGACUCUAACUCACAGGGCUAGAACAUGCCCUAGGCCUUCCCCUGGGAUAAACUAUCAUGAAACAUUGUCAGGAAGAGUCUGAAGGCUGGAUGCCAGGCUACCAAGGAGGCAGAGGAAACCACCACGAACAUGCCACGUGUCCUAGGGUCAGACAAGCCUGCCCUCAGAACUGCUCCCAGUGACAGGGGGAAGACAGUAACUUACCCUCUGUUGCAGGUGUGGAAAUCAAGGCUACGAGUUGGAAGUCACCUCCUCUCAAUCAACCAGCCUGUGCUUGGUGGACAAAAGCCUGAAACCUCAGCUUUGGGGUCCAAAAGCCCCCCUCCUCGUGUUCCUCCCACUGCCUGGGGCACUACAGGGCCACCAGGGAGACUGACGCUGGAGCCAGUGGGUAGGAGGGGGUCCUGGUAGUCAGAUGGGUGGGGCAGCAGGCUGCAAGUGAGGAAGACAGCACACGUGUUUGUGAGUGUAAGGGUAAGGGCUUAAGUGGUUCCUUUCACUCAUUCACUUAUUCAUCCAUCACCCAGUCAUUCAGACACAUUCAUUGAUCACCUUUUAGGCACUGGGAGCUAUUCUAGAGGCCGUGCCGAACAAAACAGGCAGGAUCUCUAUAUCCUGGAGUUGAUGUUACAGAAUGGGGAGACAGAAAACGAACCAGAUGAGCCAAAUGACUGCAGGAGACCAGGGAGAUGGAGAAGACAGAUGUGGUACAGACCAGGAUGAGUAUAAGCGUAGACGGGGCCAAGGCGGCCUCAUGGAGUUAAGAAUGCUGAGCUCAGAUCUGCCCAAGGAGUUGGCUGUGGGAAGGCUGAGGGGAAGAAUCCCAGGCAAAGGGCCCAGAGGGGUGGACUGGUGUCAGAGUUGGGCUCCUGGAGUAUUCAGGAGAGUCACAGCCCAGGGGCAGAGGAGCAGGGGGCUCAUAGAGCUGCUUUAGAGACAGCCGGUGAGAAAGCAACCACGACCCACCUCCCUCCGCGGAGAGGCUGUGGAGGGAACCUUCUACUUCUGCCAAAUUUUGCUAUCAAUGCUUGCUCCCUUUGCCCAGAGAGAGAAAGUUGGCCAGCACAACAGGGGCAGACCCUGGCUCAAAUCCCCGCCAUAGCAGAGGCCAUGAUUUGUCUCCUCCUAUCCUUUUCUCCUCCUCUCUUUGGUCAUAUGACCCCUUGCCUUUUAUUUGGGCACCUGGCUGCCAAAUGAAAGACCACAUUCCCCAGCCUCCCCUGACACUUAAGGAAAUCUCAUCAAGGAGACGUAGUGUAAGGAUGAUGUAGCCACUUGCAGGACCUUCCCGAAAAGACAGUGAGCUCAGGUACUUUGCUUUCUCUCCUCCCCUCUGGCGAACUGGUGUCCAGGCAUGUUGGCUGAGGCUGUACCAGCUUCCUGGGACCUUGAGGUGGUAGUCGGAGUAUUGUCCAUACAUGGUAACCUCAAUGGAAAGAAAUCUGUGUCAGGAACUUCAGACUUCCUACAUCCCAGCUGUGACUCCAAAGAAGUAAACGUCUAUCUCAUGAAGGGGCGAUUGCUGUAAUAAUAGUAGCCUUGCUUUAUUGGCAAACCUACACAGCUACCCAGAGAGGAGAGGCACAUGCCAAUUCAGCCAGGCCCGAGGACACAGGCUGUGGGGUGCCCAGGACGAUGGGGUGGCUGGCCUCAAGAGACCAUAGCCUCCUUUGGUCUGCAGCAAGAAGUGCAUGAGAGGCCAGCAGUGUGAAUCCUUUACCACGGUGAGCACACGGAAGGGUGAGAAAUCUUGCUGCCUUGGUGGGAUGAUCAGCUGUUUUGGUGGCUUGUGGGGACCGACGAGGAUUCUCUCCUUGACCAAACCCCAGCCAGGCUCCUCUGAGCCCUCUUCUGGACUAAGCCUCAACCUUGGACUAUAAAGUCCUGAUCAGACACUAACAUAGUUUCUAACAGCUUCAGCCCACAUCCCUGGGAUGAUGCUGGUCCCUCAAAAGUCCCUGCAUGGGAAAACUCCAGGCUGCCCGAAGAACUGACCAUCCCAGCCAUCACUGGAAGAGGGGGCCGUCCUUCCAGUCUCUGUGGGAGGGGAGCAGCUUACAAAGUCAGUUGGCCAACCCCCUUCACAUGGGCUUCAGAGUGACCAGCACCUCCUUCCUGCUUUUUAUAAUUCUUCACUUCCCAGAGUCUCCUGAGCCCCUGCUCAGUCCCUCUUCCCUGGCUCUCCCUUUGAAACAGCCAGUCACCUCUGCAUAAGUCCACAUUGAAUUCAGUUCACGCUGGAUUCUUCUCCCUACUGCAAUGGUUAUUACUGAUUAAAAUCCGUCCUGACUACAUUAGCUAGUGUCCAGCUCCGCUUAUAUUUAACAGUACCAGAGACUGGAGGACCAUGGGUUCGAUGUCAGAGCUGGGACUCUGCCCGCCCAGUGAGUGAUGAUGCCGCCCCUGGGCUGUGGCUGUAGUGGUUUGUGGCGAGGUGGGGGUGGCAGGGCUUGGCUGGAUCCCUACAGAGUUCAGAUCUUCCCAGGUGCCGCCAAAGGGCAGGGACUCAGCCCUGAGGAUGGAUUUUCUAGGAAGGGCUGGCACACAUAUUUGUCCUCAGAUUGCCACUCUGUGAAGGUGAAAGGCUGAACCAUGGGGUGGGUGUGUUCCUGUUACCAGAGGGGAGGUUUCUUGCAGGAGAGAUGGCAGGGCUCCCGCGGCUCCUUCCCACCGAGGCCGUGACCCCCAUUCCCCUGCUCCUGUUUGCUCUGUCUGGUCUAACGCUCUGCAACUCCCACCCCAGGCUCUGUUUUUCUUUACUUCGCUGUAAAUGUCAAAAAUGUCAGUUUUAUACAAAGUCAAUUGGAGGUCUUUUUGACCUCUAGGGCUGGAGGGUGGCACCAGCAUCUCGCCCUCCAGAUCUGAGUUUUACUGCUCUGAUGACCCCAUAGCGGGAUUCCCAGGACCAUUCUGAAUUUCCCCUUAAUUCAACAUGCCUGUUCUACUCAAUGUCUGGGUGUCCCGGAGUGCUCUCCUGGCUGCUGUGGACACACAGGUUCAGUCCAGAACUCUUUUGUCCAUCAGCAUGCUCCUCUUGUUGAGACAUUGGAUGUGGUCAGCUCAUUAACAGGGAGCACACUCCCUCCGAUCACCAUCAGCAGUGUGAAAGCAUUAAGUAGCACAAUGGGCAUGGGCUGGUUGGCUCCUUCCCACCUCCCCUCCUCUCCCCCUGGGCCGACCUCCCACCAUUGUUUGGGUCGUUCGGCCAUCACCCAGCUCAGAGGAGCCAAGACAGGGAGAGGAUCUGUGGGCACAGACAACCCCACCUAAGCAGGGUUCCUCGGCCUCCUCUGCAAGAUGGACUUUUUGGGCUGCAUAAUUCUUGGCCACUGGGCAUGGGGGGCUGUCCUGUGUAUUGUUGGGCUCUUAGCAACACCCCUGGUCUGUACCCACAAGAAGCCAGCAGCACCCUUCUCCCCUAAUUGUGACCCCAAACUUCUCCAAACACUGCCAAACAUCCCCUGAAGGCAAAAAUGCCUGGGGUUGAAACCCCUGAUCUAGGGAAAGAACAGAGCAAGAAGAGGUGAGGCCAAUCCAAACUCACCCCUGCCUCUUCAGCUGAAGGAGCAGUGCAGUCUGGUGCCAAGAGCCUAGCCUUGGAGCCUUCUGUCCUCGUUCACAGCCUGUCUUCACCACAUAUUAGCCGUGUGUGUUUGUAGCUGCUGCAUGCCUGCGAGGUGACAGUCUUUCUGUGCCUUGGUUUAUUCAUCUAGACAGGGGAAACCCUGGUAAUGGCCCCAAUGAGCUCUGUGACUAGCGGGUGGUGCCGAAUGAGCGCUGGACCAGGUUACACAUCAACGAGAUCCUGUGUAGAAAGGCUGUGUCCUGUAUUCUUAGACUCUGUGCCCCCAGAUCAUUAUCUAGUCCUUGCCCCCACUCCAGCAUCCCCUGAGUGAAGCACUCACAGCCCCUGGGAGGCACCAAGCUCCCUCUUGCAGCUUCAGCUUUGCCCUCAGCUCUGCCCCUGGCCCAGGAUGCGGGAUGCAGGAUUGCGAGCUCUUUUCAUCUCCUUCCUCACCCAGCCUACCCCCUACUCAGGUUUCAGGGUCACUUCCUCCAGGACCUCCUCCUGCCCUCCCAAGACAGGGUUAAUUACCUCUCUGAGCUUGUCCCCCCGCCCUUCACCCCACCCUCCAUUUAGCUCCUAGGUCAAGGGCUUGCAGGCAGGUAUUUAUUGGGGGAAAUGAUCUCAGGGUGGGUGCACUUGAAAGAGUCAAACAGGAAAGAAGAAGCCAUGAAUGUGCCAUUGAGCUGGUUACAACUCUGGGCAAGCUUCUGAAAAGUGCCUGUGAAUUUCACGCCCUUGAUGGAACACAGGAGAGUUUUUCCAGCAGUUCACAUACUCCAUGGGUUGGGUUGCCCCAGGGGGUGUUGACCCCUCACGUGCACCAGUGUGGCUGAGCGACUCAUAGGUGUCCCACCAGGUGGUGGCAGAGGCUCUGGGACAGGAGGCAGGGGACAUGGAACAGCUGAGGUUUGGUGUUGUCCAGUCACCUCUGAGGGCAGCUAAUUGUUGCAGCAGUAGCCAGAACAAUCAUGGGCUGACGUGUUAGACGAGGCAUGAACACCUGUGAUGCAAGUGCCUCUUCAAUCUCCUCCAUGCCCCAUCCCUCCCCUA
Sus scrofa (pig) is the source of this 24775-nucleotide non-coding RNA. The record is from RefSeq and is a predicted model, not a curated record. Lineage: Eukaryota; Metazoa; Chordata; Mammalia; Artiodactyla; Suidae.